RNAcentral lists this ribosomal RNA (273 nucleotides) under uncultured bacterium. RNAcentral describes it as "partial 16S ribosomal RNA". It matches the Rfam family "Bacterial small subunit ribosomal RNA", at positions 524 to 796 of the family's 1533-position model. The record is from RNAcentral.
AACGUAGGGGGCGAGCGUUGUCCGGAAUUACUGGGCGUAAAGGGCGCGUAGGUGGUCCAUUAAGUUAGAGGUGAAAGAUCGGGGCUCAACCCCGAGAUUGCCUCUGAUACUGGUGGACUUGAGUGCAGGAGAGGGGAGCGGAAUUCCCAGUGUAGCGGUGAAAUGCGUAGAUAUUGGGAGGAACACCAGUGGCGAAGGCGGCUCUAUGGACUGUAACUGACACGGAGGCGAGAAAGCGGGGGGAGCGCACAGGCUUCGAUAACACUGUAGUCC